AAAUAUGUGUGGGGGGGUCAAUGCAACUCAAUGGGUUAUUAAAAGUAACUAGCGUGUCAGGCUCUAUGCUUGAAAUAAAGCCUGCUACUGAGGUCAGUAAAAAGGAUUGAUGCACAUGAUUCGUACGCAAAAUUCCCAUUGGUCAGAAAUAAAUAGCUUCGUUUAUAAGGUAAUGUCAAAUUGUUGUGUAUGUAAUGAUAUUCCGUAUUUGUAAUUGUACUUUAACUACUUUUGGCCAUGUUAAUGACUGCCUUUGCUGCAGUCAAUAACAAUUAUUAUUAUUAUUUAAUAUGUAAUUCCUGGCCAUUCAAUGAAAAUUGGAAUAUUUAGUUUUGAGAUAUUGGUGGAAAAGUUGGCCGUUAUUGUCAUAUUUUAAAUUAGCUUUGAUAAUCUAAUGUAUCAAUUAAUUCCAGCAGUUCCCACCCCUGGGCCUUUGCAGCUUUUCCCAAUCACGGGGGUGGGGCUAUUGCCAAUAUUUUUUAGCCCUGCCCAGGGUGAGGAUUUUGACAUUUUCCAUCAUGGGGGAUUUGGUAGAUUUGCUGGAAAACUGAUAUUUAAUUUGAUUGCAAAUGGCUUGUGGACAUAGCCAUUUUCUUCCCAGAAAUGGCUAAUACCUCGGGGGGAUGGGCACUGCUGGAAUUGACUGAUACAUAAUUAACAAUCGCCAUUUUGAUUGGUUGUUAUUUUUGUGCAUCCCAAUCACUGUCCACUUUUUAUUGACUUCAGUGACAGGCUUACCCUGCGAGCAAAGUCCUCUCGUAUUUCUUCUCAGCACAAGAGAUACUCUGCAGCACUUGUGUAUAUUCUUUGUGGAGCCAACAAUCCAAAAACUUGGAUAAUUAUGAGUAAUUUCAGGUUUGAUACCAGUUUUAUAACCGGUUUUGAUCCGAACCGGAAACUAUUUAUUAAAUCUUCUUCUGGGAAAUAGGCAGUUGCUUAGCAACCUUCGCGCAUGCUGAAAUGAAUUUAUACACAAGUUCUGCAGAGUCUCUCUCGCUUCUCCGUGCUGUGCCGAGAAGAAAUAUGAGAGGACUUUGCUCACAUGGUAUAACAGGCUCUAUUUCAAGCAUCGAGCCUGACAUGCAAGCUACCUUCAAAGGGCCUAUUUGGCAACUUUUGUUGUGGUUACCCAGCCUGAGGCAAAAGUAAUAAAUUAUGAAUUGUUAUAAAUGUUCUGUGAAGUGCACAUAUAUUUCCUGCAGUUAGGGACCAGUCCUUAUUUAUGGAAG
Paramuricea clavata is the source of this 1229-nucleotide non-coding RNA. NCBI's taxonomy places the organism in Eukaryota, Metazoa, Cnidaria, Anthozoa, Malacalcyonacea, Plexauridae. The record is from the annotation of a GenBank genome assembly.